CAAUAUUUUGAAACAUGAUACGAAUACAUGACACGAAUGAUUUAUGAUUCAUGAUUAUGAAAUAUAUAUGAUUUAUGCAUGCAUGAUGUGUUUAUAACUUAUUUUAUUGUAUACUAUAUGAAAUAUUUAUUUUUGUAAUAUCUGUUAUUUUCUAAAUAUUAUAUUAUCAUGAAAAAAUAAAACUUAUGCUUGAUCCGGUAAGGAAGCGUCAGUUCUACUAAUUGGGCU
Molecule: long non-coding RNA, 228 nt
Filed under: Elaeis guineensis (African oil palm)
Lineage: Eukaryota; Viridiplantae; Streptophyta; Magnoliopsida; Arecales; Arecaceae
Description: long non-coding RNA (EGUI_LNC074753)
Source: RNAcentral